This 505-nucleotide ribosomal RNA is filed under the name uncultured bacterium. RNAcentral's name for it is "bacterial SSU rRNA". It matches the Rfam family "Bacterial small subunit ribosomal RNA", at positions 8 to 507 of the family's 1533-position model. The record is from RNAcentral.
AGAGUUUGAUCAUGGCUCAGAUUGAACGCUGGCGGAAUGCUUUACACAUGCAAGUCGAGCGGCCGCGCGGGGGCAACCCUGGCGGCGAGCGGCGAACGGGUGAGUAACAUAUCGGAACGUACCCCGUCGUGGGGGAUAACACAGCGAAAGCUGUGCUAAUACCGCAUACGACCUGAGGGUGAAAGCGGGGGAUCGCAAGACCUCGCGCGAUGGGAGCGGCCGAUAUCGGAUUAGCUUGUUGGUGAGGUAAAAGGCUCACCAAGGCGACGAUCCGUAGCUGGUCUGAGAGGACGACCAGCCACACUGGAACUGAGACACGGUCCAGACUCCUACGGGAGGCAGCAGUGGGGAAUUUUGGACAAUGGGGGCAACCCCGAUCCAGCCAUGCCGCGUGCGGGAAGAAGGCCUUCGGGUUGUAAACCGCUUUUGUCAGGGAAGAAACGCUCCAGGCUAAUACCCUGGGGUAAUGACGGUACCUGAAGAAUAAGCACCGGCUAACUACGUG